RNAcentral lists this long non-coding RNA (12302 nucleotides) under Triticum aestivum (bread wheat). RNAcentral's name for it is "long non-coding RNA (TAES_LNC009969)". The record is from RNAcentral. Lineage: Eukaryota; Viridiplantae; Streptophyta; Magnoliopsida; Poales; Poaceae.
UUGCUUUGGUGGGACUAGCAGAUGGUGUUUUUGGCUCAAGAAUCUGAAGUGGAAAACAAUAUAACUCCAAUGAAGAUUGAUAAGUUUGAUUGGUCUGCUUAAGAACAAGUGUGGCAGCAGUUUACAUUUCUUGAAGUUUAACCUUUCCAUCUAAAAAUUUGCAAUGAUUCAUUCAAAGGAGUCUGUAACAAUGCUAUAUGAUUGUUAUUAUUUUCACUUGAAUAUCCUGACUCUGAAAUUAAUAUUUAAUUAAUAAAUGUAACAAGUGUGCCAAGAGUUUACGUUUAUUAAAGUUUAACCUUUUCCACCUGAAAAUUUGUAAUGAUUCAUUUCAAAGGAGUCUGCUGCAAUGGUAUACGGUUAUUAUUUAUUCACUUGAAUAUCCUGAUUCUGAAUUUUUAUAUUUAUUUAGUAAAUGUAACCACAGAGUAGUGCCUACUGGCUUCUAUAACCCUUUUCCAAUACUUCCAAUGUUUGUUAACUUACAAUAACAUAUUUUCUACUAAUUACUUAUCAUUCUAUUGUCAAAAUGGACGGGCGCGGCAACGUGCACCUUCGAUGAUCUAGUUAUGUCAUAAAAGGGUCUCCCAUUUCGCCCCCUCCUCCUAAAGCAGGGCGUUUUCACCAGCUCACAAUCAUUUCCACAGCUGUAGCGCCAAACAACUAACUUUCUCUGCAACAGCUUCCUCGGCACAACAACUUGGCGAGCAUAGCAAUUUUACGGCUUGAUUUUCAAAGCCGCAUCCCAAGUAAACAAGGCCUUAGUGGCGUUUCUAAGUUACCAAAACUGUUAGUGGCGUUUCUUAGCAGUGUUCCACUAGUGACUUAAUGGCAAAACCUUAUUAUAGGAGCAUGACAUUUUUUCCAUGUUUUACAUGACAUUUUCUAAUAAGAGCAUGGCAUUUAAAAAAUUAUUAGUAACAUGGAAUUUUAAUAUUAAGAUAUGGCAUUUUUAUAUUUAAGAGAUGCCAUUUUUUGUUCAUUAAGAGAUGGCAUUUAAAAAAAUUAUUAGUAAAAUGUAAUUUAAUAUUAAGAGAUGGCAUUUUAUAUUUAAGAGAUGGCAUUUUUUAUAUUAAGGGAUGGCAUUUUUUGUUCAUUAAGAAAUGAAAAAAUAUAUAUUUAAGAGAUGAUAUAUUUUAUAUUAAGAGGUGACUUUUUUGGUUUUAGAUGUCAUUUUUUGUUCAUUAAGGGAUAGCAUUUUUUAAAAUUAUUAGUAACAUGGAAUUUAAUAUUAAGAGAUGGCAUUUUUAUAUUUAAGAGAUGGCAUUUUUAAUAUUAAGGGAUGCCAUUUUUUGUUCAUUAAGAAAUGAAAAAAAAAUUAUAUUUAAGAGGUGACNNNNNNNNNNNNNNNNNNNNNNNNNNNNNNNNNNNNNNNNNNNNNNNNNNNNNNNNNNNNNNNNNNNNNNNNNNNNNNNNNNNNNNNNNNNNNNNNNNNNNNNNNNNNNNNNNNNNNNNNNNNNNNNNNNNNNNNNNNNNNNNNNNNNNNNNNNNNNNNNNNNNNNNNNNNNNNNNNNNNNNNNNNNNNNNNNNNNNNNNNNNNNNNNNNNNNNNNNNNNNNNNNNNNNNNNNNNNNNNNNNNNNNNNNNNNNNNNNNNNNNNNNNNNNNNNNNNNNNNNNNNNNNNNNNNNNNNNNNNNNNNNNNNNNNNNNNNNNNNNNNNNNNNNNNNNNNNNNNNNNNNNNNAUGGCAUUUUUAUAUUUAAGAGAUGACAUUUUUUUAUAUUAAGAGAUGACAUUUUUGUUCAUUGAGACAUGAAAUGUUUUUAUAUUUAAGAGAUGAUUUUUUUUAUUUCGAGGUUACAUUUUUUUGGUUUAGAUGUCAUUUUUUGUUCAUUAGGAGAUGUCAUUUAAAAAAUUAUUAGUAACAUGCCAUUUAAUAUUAAGAGAUGGCAUUUUUAUAUUUAAGAGAUGGCAUUUUUGAUAUUAAGAGAUGACAUUUUUGUUCAUUGACACAUGAAAUGUUUUUAUAUUUAAGAGAUGACAUUUUUUAUAUUAAGAGGUGACAUUUUUUUGGUUUUUAGAUGGCAUUUUUUUGUUCAUUAAGAGAUGACAUUUCUAUAGUAAGAGAUGACAUUUCAUUUUUUGUUCAUUAAGAGAUGGCAUUUUUAUAUUAAGAGAUGGCAUUUUUUGUUAUUAGAUGACAUUUUUGUUUAGGUAAAUCUUUCAGAUUAUUAGGGUGGGUUGGUUUCAAAAGCAUUUGUUUAGGUAAAUCCUUGAGAUUAUUUGUAUGUCUUUCCAGUGUGAAAGUGACGAAUCGUUGUCGAGUCUUGCCUUGUUUUCUUCUUCUUUGGUAGUCCUGGACUGAACAAUGAGUGAGUAGAGGAGCUCAAGAUAUUGUAUGUCUUUUUAUUGGAUGUCGUUUUCUUGGGUUGGGUUUGGCUUGUCAAUAUUCAAAUUCAACAUGUGACGGUCAUUUCCCCACGCCUUAAACGUGCUCCCGCUGUCGAGCGCCGUGCUUGCCCUUUAACCAUUUAGCCCGCGGAGCAGGUAAUAGAUUUGGUCGUGUACAUGGCUGCGUACUGUCCGUGGCUGCUGAUGUAGACACGCAGAACCAAGGGCAGCGAGUGGGCAAAUUAAGAUGUUUUUCGUUGUUGUUGUUGUUGUUGAUCUGAUUGUAGCUAGCACUACACGUGCUAUUCGCAAAUUUAUUGGAUUUUGCUAAUAGGCCUUUAGUCCAAAACCCAACUAAAAUUUUAAAAUUCUCUUGCCUCAUUCAUGCACACAUGUGAGUGGAGUGAGUGAGACUAAAAUUUAAUCUCACCCUGAAAGUUAAGAGAGAAUUGCACAUUUUUAUAAGGUGAGCUAUUCUACCACUUGUAUGAGCAUGAGAAGAGGAGACCUACACGCGCGCUCCUCCUCCUCGCCUCGCCGCGGGUUGCGGGAUUGAGCCGAGCCGAGGACAGAGCUAUGUACGUUGUUGUCUAUAUUUUUGCUGCUCGGUAAAAAUUAAUGAGUCAUUAAAUAAUAAUUAACGGAUGUGUUAAUUACUGAACCGUUUUUGAUUCUUUUGUGUCGUGACGACUCGGAUGUGGAGUUUACUCUCACGACCUAUUCGGCCCGCACUAUAUAGUCAGGCAGACGUCUAUCCUAGCCGCCGCCGCUUCGUAUGGUUUCUCACCACUGUUUCAGAUCAUUGCGCCGCCAAGCAAGUCUUCUCCAUCCCUCCUUUCGGCGUGCACUUGGAGAAGGGACAGCAGGCCUCCGGAACCCCGCCUCUCGUGAUUCUAUAUGGGAGAGGGGCGAUCAGGUUUUUGGGGAGCGCACUCGCGCGACUGCUGAUAGCAACGACUUCGCGAACGACGACUUCUUCCCCGACCUCGGCAACCUCAUCCUCGAUGACAUGGGCGACAACAUCAACACCGGCGGUGCUGCUCCCGCUGCACCGUAUGUGAUUCUAUCCUUCCUGUUCGAGAUCGUGGUAGAAUUCAUGUUUUUAGUAUGUGCCCUAGAUGUGAUAUGUUCAUCUACUAUGCUAGUUCACAUGAUUAGUUUAAUCUCUGUUAUUGCCGUCAUGAUUUAUUUUUUGUUCAGUCGGAUUAAAUCUCAUAGUAAUUUGCUCAUAUUUCUAACAAAAUUAUCCAUCUUUCUUGCACAAAUUCAACUUGUGUAGCAGUAUAAAAUAAUCACAAUGGGGAAUUCACCUACCGACAUGAACUGCAGCUAUCUAUCUAUCAAGGUUCAUUGUCUUUUUGCAAGGAGACUGUCAGCGUUGACUGCAGCUAGCUAUCCAGGUUCAUUGUCCAGGCUCCAGGCUCAUUAAACAAUGUAUACAGAUAGUAUAAAGCUAAUCCUUGCGAAGAUUGUUCUAAGCAAAAUCCUCCGCCAUGUACAACGUACUGCUCACUCUAUCUAUACAUUAUUAACUCGGGAGAAACGAAGACUCUGCUCUCGUCUGAACCAAACCGACAGGGACAGUCUUGUGUGCAAACCUAACAAAGGAGGAGGUCGGUAACUCUCACUAAGACUGGUCAUAGUGGGAAGGAACUUAGGAGUAACAUCACACACUUCAAUACAAUUUUGCUUAUGUGGCACGUAUUUAAUGAAGAGAGAGGUGCUUGUGGUAACUAGCUAAGUUACCGGAACAUCACACACUUCAAAAAACAAUGAGUCUAUAACCUAAUAAAUACAUCGUUGCAUGAUACUACAUAAAUGUUCUUCCUCACUAUGGAGAUAGUAACAUAGUCUAGGGAAGUGUGUAAGUUACUAGCUUAUAUUCUUGUCCAUUGUGACCAGCCUAAGCCUACGGUGAUUAAAAGCACAGGUGCCGGUUGAACUAUUGACCCGGGAAACGGGGUGAAAUUUUCCACAUGACGAGGCUCUUGAUCUCGAUCCAGCUAGCCAUUUAUCAUUGGUUAGGAAAGUCGCCAGCGUUGACGAGAGAAACUGCCAGGAAAUUAAGCUGAACAUGGGAUAAACACACCAGUCUGCUGAUGAGAUCGAACACGAUCGAUAUGCUCGACGGCCGUGUGGACUUUGCUGGAUCGAGCUCACCGAUGGAUGGAUCACGUCGGCCACUCCCUUAAUUUACCGUCUCGUACGUACAUGUGGCGUCCGUGCGUGCACCUGGUUGCUGGUGGAUUACUCGACCGACCCCUAUACUUUUCGACGGUGGUAGCUUGACGCCUGUGCCAACCGUGGUUUGAGCCAGCAGGAAUGCGCGUUUGGCUUCACUGGAAAUGGUUGACCAAUGAAGAACUGAUUAUAUUAUUAUUAUUUGUAUACCGUAUGUAUAAGGGCAAGUCAAACUUAUGGUGUGAUCGAUUGGGCCACACGUCGUGUGUCGUUAUCUCUCGGCACUGGUAUUUUUUUUUAAACAUGGCAGCAGACUUGCCAUUUUCAUUGAUUAAGAGGAGGAUUCAACACACACAACGCGAAGCGGCGAAAACAAAACAAUUACUCUGCGGCAUUACAUUGCGCAAAUACUUGGCGCUCGCAAUGACCCAAAUAGAAGCCCUCUUUGCUGCGUCGCAUGACAAUCGCAACCGGCGUUGUUUUGCUCCUGAAGACGAGAGCAUUUCUUUCAUUCUAGAUUUUCCAUCCCACAAGGAGUAACAAUGAAGACAGGGCCUUCGUCGGAUGAGCAUUGCUAGAUAGGAUCGCAUCCCACCAAGAUUUUACCGAGUUGAACAGGAGCCAAGGGGCCAGCCCAAGCCAUGAGAAGACCACGUCUCAAAUCCAGACAUAAAAAACAGCAUUUGAAGAGCAGGUGUGCUGCAGUUUCUUGCACCUGACUGCAAAGCGAGCAUUUGUCGCACUCGCAAUUUGGCCAUCCUCUCUAUUUUUGUUAUAGAACGUGUAUCGUUCAACACCAUUGUGUGCAAAAGAAAAGAAAAUGAGGUUAGUAACACUGACUAAGAGCAUGUACAGCCGGACUUCUCAAAUUGACCGUGCGGGCGCUGGGACCACUGACCGGAAAAGAGAGAGAAGCAAAAAAUAGCAAAAACUUAACCCAACCGGACCCCUCUUAUCUUUCCUAUAUGUCCGGGUUGUCCGCGUAUCCUCAUAUCCAUCUCAAAUAUGGGGAGGAUAUGAGGGCUCGUGGACACGUCCGGGCACGUCCGGUCAAUCCGCCACAUAGAACGCGGACCCACCUCGGACCAUCUUUUCACUUUAUUUAUUCAUUCUUUUAUUUUUCUCUCUACAUCUUCACCAAUCACGUGCAAGUGAUCGGACAUAUGAGAAAGAAAUGAGGAUUGUGGCUGCACGGAUGAACAAAUCGAGGCUUAAAGCGGACACGCUCGAUCACUGACCGAACGCGUCCGCGGGCUUAUGAGAGAUCGAAUUAGAGAUACGUGGCUGAAGAUGCUCUAAGCCUUCGGUGAUUAAAUGCACAAGUGCCGUUACGGGAUGAAAAUUUUCACAUGAUGCUCUUGAUCUCGAUCCAGCUUAGCCAUUUAUCGUACUACUUGUUUAAAAAGUCGCUAACGUCGACGAGAGAAACUGCGAGGAAACUAACCUGAACAUGCAACAGUCUGCUGAUGAGACCGGACACGAUCGAUAUGCUCCACGCCGUGUGGACUUUGGAGCUAGUUCACCAAUCGAGCACGUCGGCCACUCCGUUAAUUUACCGGCUCGUAGUACGUACUACACGUACAUGUGGCGUCCGUGUGUCGUCGGUGCUGCAACGCUCUGACUUGCUCGGCCGGCGUACUUUUCGACACUUGUAGCUUACCUUGCUUGACGCUACUUUGGCUUCAUAACUGGAAAUGGUUGACCUGUGUGUUAUGAAUUAGUCUUAGGGAUAAGUAUAUUUUUCGUCCUUUAAUUCUUUCAAGAGUAUAGAAAUAGUCCUUCAACUUCAAAACCAGCAAAAAUUAGUCCCUCAACUUUUCAAACCGGAUAACUUUAGUCCCUAAUACCGCUUUAGAUGAUUUAACUGGUGAUGUAGCAUGGUUUUAACUGGUUCGAAUGGUUUCGUUGAUGAAGUGGAGGCUGCCGGUCACGGGACGCUGAAAACAUGUUCGCCAGCACCGGCCGGUCCGCUACUACUCUGGCCGAGCACUCUUUGAGCACCCCGAGCAGCCAUGCCCAGCUGGCUGUAGCCCCGCUUGCUGGUCGAGCUGCACUCCGCCGUCCGAUGGUUGCCGCAUCUACCGAGUUACCACUUGUCGUGUCCGCUGCGCAUUGGUACUGCUUGCUGGGCGCAUCGCUAGCACACUAACACUGGCAACCACAAGCCUGCUCACCAUGGGCGUCACCGCUUCAUGCUGAUGCGUGUUGCCGCCGCAGCCUGUGCUAACCGGUUCACUCGCAGAGCUGACAGAGGAGCUGCAUGGUCCCCUUCGCCACUUAUGCCACUGCCUAGCUAGCGCACAAGCAGAGCAGCAGCACCGCCCGUUCGUCCGUGCUGCGUGCUCCGGCCGUGGCAGUUCUGGUGGCGCUGGAGCUCCUUCCACGCGAGCUCAGCAGCUCGACGGUGCGUGCGCUACGAACCUGCAGCACGCACUGUGGCGAGCUAUGGAACCUCCACAAGGCCACUCCUCGAGCGCCUCGACUUCACACAUUGACAUUGCCGUCAUGCGUGUUGUACUGCUGCUGCAGCCCUAGCGUCAGCGACACGCCACCUGUGUCGCCGCCGAAGCCCCUGCCCAUCGUAUGCGUCAAAGUCGAUCGAGGUGGUGGUGGUCCAUGAUGCCGAUGCUCUCCAUCCGCGCCGGGGCGCCGAAGACGUUGACAAUGGAGGCGAGCAAGCUGGCGUCGUGCACAUGCAGCCGCGCCCGUGUCGGCUUCCGGUCAUUGGCCCCGGCAUGCUCACCUUCGUCUACAGUAGUAGUACGGCCACCCUGGCAUGGCAACCAGCCGCCGGUCGUCAUUGGAGACAAGAUGUAGAUCAUGCAUGUGAGUUAUUUGAUGAAAUGCAUGUGUUACGGGCACAUAGGGUGGUAGCAAGGAGACCACUACUGUCAUGGCCGAGACACAGGUGACGCAUCACGGCAUGUUGUUCGCAGGUAGAAUACGUGCAUGAUACUGGCAUUUUCGCCAUGGACGAGGUCAAGGGUGGCAGCCAAUACGGAGUUGGUACCUUCCCUUAGAUGAAAGGUAGAGGAGGUGGGGCCCACACUAGUCAGCUCGAGUCAAAACCACUCCACGUCAGCAGGAAACCACUUGAAAUGGCAAUAGGGACUAAUUUUAUCCGGUUUUAAAAGUUGAGGGACUAAAUUUUACUGGUUUUAAAGUUGAGGGACUAUUUCUAUACUCUUGAAAGAAUUAAGGGACGGAAAAAUAUACUUUUCCCUUAGUUUUAUAUAAGGAUAGGUCAAACACAGUGGUUUGGCACAGUCAGUCAACACGUUGUGUGUCCUUGCCUUUUCGUAUUUUCUUACUUCAGGUGAGGUCCUGUUUGCGAAUGUCCUCCUCCUUGCCGACACUCUGACACCACGUGCCACGUGAGAGGAUGAAUAGAGCGCUAGGUGGACCGCCACUUAAUCUGGAUCCAAGGUUUUUAUUUUUAUUUUGAGUCUGAAUCUAGAUCCAUGCUUUUUUAACACAAAUCUAGAUCCAAGUUGUUUGAUAAGUGUGAGCCAUUUUUUUCUUCGAAAAGAGGGAACCGCUAAGUGGCGACUUAAUGUUUCCUUUAAACUAUCGACCAUCAAUGAAAUGUAUGGAUGUGUGAGUGUAAGAUACCGCAGCGUGCCACUCUUAGGUCCUGUUUGUUUCAGUCUUUCAGCUUUGGGAGACAGCUUCGGACAGGGAAAAGUUAAAAUGGAAACACACAGCUAUAUUAAAGGAGUUGUGGAAUCACAACCCAAAGCUGACUCAUGCUAACUUUAGCGUAACAACCCAAAGCACAUCUCGACGUACUUCACAGCCAAACAUGUUUCCUUGUCACCUUGUCCUUGGUGUUUGGCCGUAAUUAAGGACAGUAUAACCGCACCUAAUCCCUGCCCUUACAACGCUUUAGAUUUUCGGAGUUCCUGGCCGUCGGAUUUAAUGUGAAAAACGUUUUGUUUCACAGUGUGGCUAAUUUGGCCCAGCUGUCCUGUGGGCUGCUGCUCCACGGGCCGAAAUGGACGUUUCUAGUGCAUCGGGCCUUCACGAGCCGGCAGCCCAUCCGAAGGAGUGAGGCCUACGAGCUACCACUUGAGGGUUCAUCUGCUCCCGCAUCCCUAAUCCAGUCCCCAUCGAGACCGCAGCGGUCGGCGGCUCGUCACUCAUCGCCUCCCUCUGUCCCGACGCCUGCUCUCCUAUCCUCUUCCUGCGCCGCCGACAUCAACGGCCCCCGUCACCAUUCCUCUCGCCCCCCCUUAACCUAUGGUUGCAGCGGGAUCCAGCAACGCGGGAUACAGAGGAGUGGCCGGUCUGCGCCCAUCCAGCCCCGAUGCGAGGCGCGCAAUGGGAUCAACCGGAUGUGCGGGAUCGAGCCAGGCUAUGCGCACGUUGGGAUCGACCGGAGGCACUUGAGGGAGCCCAAGAUCUAGCACCGCCAGAAAUUCGUCUCCAUGCCCGACUCGAGGGGUUUGCUGCCGCGGGUCGAGGCCCUCGCCACCGACUGCACGUUUGUGGAGGAAAUCAGCUGGUCCCAACGCGAGUUUCCUUCCUCUAUGGUUUUCAUUUAUUUAUUUGGGGUUUCUAUCUAAUUGGCAUAUUCGCAACUGAUGUGUUUCGAUUGAAGGCGGAGGCGAGCAGGGAGAGGUCAAAGGCGGCCUACACGGAGCUUCCUAUCCUACGGGUGCGAAUCACAAGCUCGCUGGUAAUCUAUCCCCCUGUUCUGCUUUCCUUUGGAUGAUUUUGGCUCGAUCCCUUUGGGUCAGGGAGUUUUCUAUGUAGGUUUAUGGCCUCCUCGAUAAAUUGAUUCGUUUCCAUGACAUGCUGAUCAGUGGCGGAGCUAGCUUUUCACAUCAGGGUGGUCCGCCCCCCAAAAAUUUUUUUGACAAAAAAUGCGACAUGUGAACGUUCUAACUAGUUCACAGUAUCACAUAGAAAUAGAUCAAUAUGGUCUUACAAACAAACUAGAAUUCUCAAUUAAGACUAAGUUUUGCAUAAAGAAACCUACAUAGUACAUAUAUACUACAUGGAUCAUAGACAUACCUUGAGAAGUUUAAAAACACUAUGUUUUCGGCCUACGCUUUUGCAUUGUCAUGAAGGUAUCAAUUAUAUCAUGUUCAUUCACCUUGGAGAAAGGAUUUCUCUCAACACAUGUGACUAGACAAUCAUCCAAAAGACUAUCGUCCAUCUUAUUUCUCAACUUGCUCUUGACUAUGCUCAUGGCAAAAAAUGCGCUCACAACAUUUGUUGUUGCCACCGGUAGAAUAAAUACCAAUUUUAGAAGCAAGUACACCAAAUGACGAACUAUAUGUCUCCCUAUUUGACCAAGCUUAACCGAGAGAUCGACAAGAUUUCCAAGGCCUCGGAAGUUGUCAUCUUUUUUCAUGUCAUCUAUAUAGUUAUGCACUUGUAGUUUAAGGUGUAUCAAGUCAUCACUUGAAAAAUCUUUGGGAUAAAACUCAACAAGUCUUUGUACCUUGCAUACCAUUUGUGCAUCAAAAGCAGCAAAUGAGUUGGCGGGAUUCAAAGCAGAUAUAGAAGAUGACAACUCCAUGUUGAUCUCAUCAAACCGAUUUUCAAGCUCUUGACUAAUUUGAUCAAUGACUCCAAAAAAAUUCUCUUCUAAAGUGAUCUCCGGCCCUCUUCAUUUUACAACAAAUCUGCAAGAAAACGACUUUCUCUCAAUAAAGCUAAUUGAGGCCUAAAUGAUUUGCAGAAUUAUGUAUAUGUUCUUCAUGUAGUGGAUAGCAUAGUUCAAAAAAGCAAACUCUAAAUCAGAAAUUUGUGUAUUUCGGUACCUUAAAUCAGGCAGGGUAUUCUGGUUUUGGCCAGAUUUGCAGCAGGGGGGCGAGGCCGCGAGGGCAGGGGCGCCAACAGUCCCGGCAGCCGGCCGACGGUAGGGGCGCAGCCGCUCGCUGGAGCAGGGCUGCACACAAGGAGGCGUCGGCUGGACCCGAGGGCCGCACGGGCGGGCGGGACGAGAGGCGGGAUCUUCCUUUACGGCGGAGGGGGCGCGACCGGCGGCGAGGAAUGGGGAGGCGGCUGCCGGCUUGCCGGGCCGGGGUCGGGGUCGGGCGGCAGUGCGAGACUGCGAGGGCAUCAGGACGAGGACGACUGGGUCUGAGCGGAUGGCUGCGUUCGUCGUGGACUCCUGGGUGUGUUUACUGGGCUGGGUAUUUUUCAGGCCCAAUUAAAAUGUAUAAGUAUAUAGUAGGCUGUCUCAAAAUCCCAGGGUGGGCCGCGGCCCACCCUGGCCACCCUGUACAUCCGCCACUGAUGCUGAUCGAUUUAGGGGCUGUUUGGUUCGUUAGUUAAAUUGCCACACUUGUGGCGCGCCGCGGAGUGUGGCGUACAAAACAAGCGCCACACAUUUGGCGAAAAAGUCUGCUGCAAAACACACUGCAGGUUGUGGUGAGCCUAACCUUUGUAGUAAACCAAACGACAGUCUAGGGAGCUGUGGCGCGCCACACCUUGGCAAGGUGCGGCCGGGAACCAAACAGCCCCUUAGAUGGAAAACAUGGUGUCGUUGAUUUGGGUCAGGGAGUUGUUUAUGUAAGUUUAUGAUGUGCUCAAUAACAAUCAUUUUGGUUGGCCAUUUGGAUAUUAACUUCUAGAACAUAACACCCAAUUUUGGUGGAACAAUAUAUGCUGCUACUCGUAUCAUUUGCCUUUGCAUUCAAUGUAGAACUUCAAGAGAGUGACUUGGUGGAUCCCCAAGCCCGUGGUUUGCUCUUCCUGAUGCCUACUUAUGAAAAGCAUUAUGCCCUGCUUGUGCAUGUCAUGAUUUUCUUAAUCCUUCAUCUUUAUGGGCAGUAAUUGUUUUGUUAAUAAUGUGACAUAGUAGAGACGAAGGAAGGCCAUUUGAAAAAAGACAAUAAGUAGGAACUAUAUUUGAUUUCCAUCAUAUCUGAUGUCUAUAUCUGGGGAGUGCUAAUAGACCAGAGUCUUUUUGUAACAGGACAAUAGUCACGAUGCCGAUGAGAUGGAUCUUGUACAGUGCAUGGCGAGUCUCCCUCGCAUUUUUGCUCACAAGUAUAAGCAUCAUGAUUCUUGAUAGUCUGCACAUGUCUUUUGUUACUGGAAACAAACUCCACGAAAUAGGAAUUAUAACAUUGGGGAGGUCGAUACAGAGGAUGCGGGCUGGCCCUUGAUAAAGAGGUUGCUAGCGAUGCGGGGUACUGUAAUCUUGUGAAGCAAAGGUAAUUGCUUCUAUUACAGAAUGGCCUAUGGUGGAAACCAUCAACAAAACUAAGAUUAUGUGUUCAAAGCUUUGAUUGGUGAUCCUUCUGUUGGUAAUUCAAAUUUUCUUGCAAGAUUUCCUAGGAACCCUGGUCCUUGUAAUUCCAGUGGGAUAGAUGAUUACUGGAACACAUAUAUAAACUUAUUAAGAGGUGAUUUAAAUAGCUGCUAAUAUUGGAGUUAUAUUGUUUUUCACUAGAGUUGAUACAAUCACCAAAGCAACAUUUGCUAAUUCCACACUGAUCCUUGUAAUUCCACACUGGUGAUUUUCCACUUCAGAUUCUUGAGCCACACAUAUUAUUAUGACCUAUCAGUUCUAGUGGAAAACAAUAUAACUCUAGUGUUGCUUUGGUGGGACUAGCAGAUGGUGUUUUUGGCUCAAGAAUCUGAAGUGGAAAACAAUAUAACUCCAAUGAAGAUUGAUAAGUUUGAUUGGUCUGCUUACGAAGAAGUGUGGCAGCAGUUUACAUUUCUUGAAGUUUAACCUUUCCAUCUGAAAAUUUGCAAUGAUUCAUUCAAAGGAGUCUGUAACAAUGCUAUAUGAUUGUUAUUAUUUUCACUUGAAUAUCCCGACUCUGAA